Molecule: long non-coding RNA, 877 nt
Filed under: Marmota monax (woodchuck)
Lineage: Eukaryota; Metazoa; Chordata; Mammalia; Rodentia; Sciuridae
Source: RNAcentral
AUUGAACUCAGGGGUAUUCGACCACUAAGCCACAUCCCCAGCCCUAUUUGGUAUUUUAUUUAGAGAUAGAGUUUCACUGAGUUGCUUAGCACCACUCUUUUGCUGAGGAUGGCUUUGAACUCGAGAUCCUCCGGCUUCAGCCUCCAGAGCUGCUGGGAUUAUAGGCAUAUGCCACUGUGCCCAGUUAUUUUCCCCUUAUUCUAGAAAAACAAAAAAAAAUACUAUCCCCAUCAUCAUAUUAGCAUCAUUGAGUUUCUCAAAUAAGUACAAUUUUAUUAGAGAACUUUAUCACUGUGUUUCCUUAAAAUAUGAUUAAGAAAAAAUUAAGAUGUGCAUAUAAAUAGAGAUGCACAAAAAAGUACCAGAAUGCUUCAAAAUGUUUAUAAUCAUAAUUGCUUUCUUUCAGGCAAGUUUUUGUAUGUCAGCUUAAUUGAAUAUUAAGAUAUUCAACAUUCAGAAAAUGAAAAUCUAAUCAUAUUUCAACCAUGAAUUUGAAUAAAGUCAGUCUAUUUAUAGUCAAUAAUUUUCUCCAAAUGUACAUAACUGUUACUGCCAACAUAAUGUAUAAUACUUUAAUCUUUCUAAAUGUUUACUAGGCCCCUUUUCACUCAGUCUCUUCUCUCCACUCCCUUUUCUCUACUCCCUGUCAGUGGUAACCACGAAUCCAACUUCUGUCUCUAAAGUUUUUCCUUUUAAAGAAUGUGUCUAAUGGAAACAUAUAGUAAAUAAUCUUCCAUGACUGGCAUUUUUUAUUCAUCAUUGCACUUCAGAUUCGUCUAUGUUGCUGCACGUAGUUCAUUCCUUUUUGCUGUUAGUACUAUUCCAUUGUGUGAGUGCAUCACAGUUUAUCCUUUCCCCAGUUGAUAAUAUGUUUUCA